UCAUUGGUGGCUCAGUGGUAGAAUUCUCAGCUUCCAUGUGGGAGGCCUGGGUUCUAUUCCUGGCUAAUGCA
RNAcentral lists this transfer RNA (71 nucleotides) under Loxodonta africana (African savanna elephant). It matches the Rfam family "tRNA". Rfam says of the family: Transfer RNA (tRNA) molecules are approximately 80 nucleotides in length. Their secondary structure includes four short double-helical elements and three loops (D, anti-codon, and T loops). Further hydrogen bonds mediate the characteristic L-shaped molecular structure. tRNAs have two regions of fundamental functional importance: the anti-codon, which is responsible for specific mRNA codon recognition, and the 3' end, to which the tRNAs corresponding amino acid is attached (by aminoacyl-tRNA synthetases). tRNAs cope with the degeneracy of the genetic code in two manners: having more than one tRNA (with a specific anti-codon) for a particular amino acid; and 'wobble' base-pairing, i.e. permitting non-standard base-pairing at the 3rd anti-codon position. The record is from Rfam by way of RNAcentral. Lineage: Eukaryota; Metazoa; Chordata; Mammalia; Proboscidea; Elephantidae.